Molecule: ribosomal RNA, 497 nt
Filed under: uncultured bacterium
Lineage: Bacteria
Description: partial 16S ribosomal RNA
Rfam family: Bacterial small subunit ribosomal RNA
Source: RNAcentral
GAUGAACGCUGGCGGCAUGCCUAACACAUGCAAGUCGAGCGGAAACAUCAUGAGCUUGUUCCUUUGUCGUUAGCGGGAGACGGGCGAGUAAGACGUACGUAUCCCCCCUCUUAGCCUUGAAUAACUACGGCAAGCCGGGGCCAAUGCUAGUUCAGAUUAACAUCCGCUUACUGCAUAAGAUAUGCAGGGAUUUGUUAUCUGUAAUAGAUGGUGUCGCGUCGGAUUAGCUAGUUGGUAAGGUAACGGCUAACCAAGGCAACGAUACGUAGCGGAGCUGAGAGGGGGAGCAGCCACACUGGAACUGAGACACGGUCCAGACUCCUACGGGAGGCAGCAGUGGGGAAUCUUCCACAAGUGGCGGAAGCCUGACCGAGCCACGCCGCGUGGGUGACGAAGGGCUUCGGAUCGUAAAUCUCUGUUGUUGGGGAAGAAGAAAAGUGUAAGUAACGGGGCCCGUUUUGACGGUACCUAAUGAAUAAGCAACGGCUAACUACGUG